AAGUGAAUACAUAGCUUAAUGAGGGGAACUCAGGGAACUGAAACAUCUAAGUACCUGAAGGAAGAGAAAGAAAUUCGAUUCCGUAAGUAGCGGCGAGCGAACGCGGAUUAGCCCAAACCAAUAAAGUUUUCUUUAUUGGGGUUGCGGAAAUAUCAUAACGAAGAGGUAUCGUAAUUGAAGAGGUUUGGAAAGACCCACCACAGAAGGUAAUAGUCCUGUAUGUUAAACGAGAAGACUUCAGAUAUGAUCCAGAGUACCACGGGACACGUGAAACCC
RNAcentral lists this ribosomal RNA (276 nucleotides) under Clostridioides difficile. RNAcentral's name for it is "partial 23S ribosomal RNA". It matches the Rfam family "Bacterial large subunit ribosomal RNA", at positions 156 to 434 of the family's 2925-position model. The record is from RNAcentral. Lineage: Bacteria; Bacillati; Bacillota; Clostridia; Peptostreptococcales; Peptostreptococcaceae.